CCCAGAACACUGGUGUGCUGGCCUGCAGAUGUGAGCAAGCUUUAAAAAGGAGAGUGACUCAUGAAACAUCGCUUCGAGGGAGAAGACCCACAUACGACCAGUACGAGCACUUUAAACUAAGCAUCUAAGACAGCAGAAGAAAAAAUCAGAAGGAAACAAUGGAGAAGUAUAAAGAGAGACCACACACCUAACUCCUUCGACAGCUCUGGUACCAUCCCAGAGGUCACUGGAUGUGAUUUUACUUCUGCAAUAUCCCACGUUCCUGCAUUCUAAAGAAGGAAACCAACAGUAACCCAAAGUGUGAUGUCAUGUUGAGAGCUGGCAACUGCAGUUUCAGCCUGACACUCCCAAUCCUUUUACAGCCUUUCCAUGUUCUCAUCAUCCCAAGCCUGCAGCUACUUUUAUUGCUGGAGAAGAAUCAAGCAAAGGAGAAAUGAUCUCCUAGGGACAGAAUCCAGCCAAGUUGCUAUUUGCACCUUCUCAGCCCUUCCAAUUGCAUAUCAUACCAGCACAGCAUUUCUCUGGACUUAAUUCCUCACUCAUCUGGACUGAUUUGCCUUUCGUGAGCAACAGAAUGUUGUCAUACAUCAGGAUGCUGUCAUACAUCAGGUUGGAGUUUGGCCUUCUGAAGGCAGGAGAGUGAAAAAUGGUACUAAUGUCCUUCCCACACCAACCCUGUAUUCUGCAAAGGAAAGGACUCCAGCAAAGAAAGCAACUAACGUAACGGCAACCUAAGACCACGUUCUGAAUCAUCAGAGUCCUGGACUACUGCUACUGAAGCACAUUCACACAGUGUUCCCAUUUUCUCCCAUCUGAAGCCAUGGUGUACUAGAGGCUUCUCAUGGAUGCCUGUGAAGCUGAGGACCUGCUAAGCUUGCAUAGCUUAUUGGGCUCAUCAAAGCUGUGAGUGUGUCAACAUCACUCCACCUACUUGGAGGUGCUCUGGAAUAACUGAUUCACAGGCAUUUUGCUUGCUUGGCACUCAGCCUUGUGCAGCCAGUGCUGUCUUGAGCCUUUUCAAGUAAUUCAGGCAAAAAAUGGAGUUUGCUGACAAAAGGGGGUUUGCCUAGAGCAUCUCUACUAGGAAGACAUCCAAUCUUGAUCUGAAAACAUCAAGAGACAGAGAAUCCAACGCUUCUUUUGAGAUUUUAUGCUCAUUAAAAUCUGAGAACUAUGGCAAGGAUUUCAGCUUGAUAGGCAGAAAGUAUCUCAUUCGUCCCAAAGGAGUGGGGGGGGGACACCCCGCAGCUCUCAGGAAGAGGGACGGCUUACCUGGACGUGGGCUCUUGGUGAGGGCUCAGCACAACGUGAGGAUGCCCGUGGGAACCUGUACCUCUGCAGUAUGCAUUUUGCCGUGGUUUAUUUGUGCUGUCCCCGUAACACACCCAUUGCUGUGGGAUGUGGAUGCCUUUCGGUGAUGUACUAAACUAAUAAACUACCUGUCAUGCGUGUUUCUGACUCAGUUUUGCAGUCGAAAAGGAAAAGUCAUCCCUCCCUGAUGGCACAUUGCCGUGUGGCCACUCUACACUCACUAUAAGUUUAAAACAAC
This is a long non-coding RNA of Gallus gallus (chicken), 1549 nucleotides long. Lineage: Eukaryota; Metazoa; Chordata; Aves; Galliformes; Phasianidae. The record is from Ensembl.